Molecule: long non-coding RNA, 6877 nt
Organism: Globicephala melas (long-finned pilot whale)
Lineage: Eukaryota; Metazoa; Chordata; Mammalia; Artiodactyla; Delphinidae
Source: RefSeq, a predicted model, not a curated record
CCCCCUUCCCGAGUUGACCAGGGACUCCUGGACCAGAGGCUGAGGCCAUCAUACAGGCUCUUCUCUGGUUCUGCUCCUGAGGUCCUACCUGGGCCCCCAAAAGUAACCUGGCCCCUCAGCUCCGGGCCGGGCACGACUGGCUGCCCUCCUGCCCCUCCACCACCGGCCCCAGCCGCGUGUGCCUCUCCCCCCAGCAGAGAUGACGCAUCCAGCUGGUACCUCCCGGGUCACAGGCCCGUCUCCCCGGAGACUAAACACCUGCGGGCACAGAAUCUUGGUGCCGGUUCCCGGCACAUGGGUGAUGAGUCUGAUCCGCUUCACCUGCCGGCACUAAUCAAGGUCAUUUUCAGAUUCGCACGUCCUCCAAGCCGCAUGGAGCCUGAACAGUAAGAUGUUUGCUCGAGCUGUUUCCAGGAGCUUGGCGACAGCUGCGUCUAUGUGAGGUCAGCCAGUUAAGACGCACCAGCGUCGUGGCGUGACCUUUGGAAGGUGCGGAGCCUGAAGCCUAGGGACACCUGCGCAAAAUGACGAUUAUCACACCUUUUCCCAAUCGCCUCUCCCCACGCUCCCCACGCUUCAGACCGCCUUGCCGCUUGAUUGGUUACGCCAUAAAGACCCCAGCCCCUCGCCUUCCGGGAGGUGGAUUGGAGACUUGUUCUCCCGGUUCCUCGCUCGGCUGCUUUGUGAAGAAAUCCUCUCUUUGCUGCAAACCCCGGCGUCUCGGCUCCUGCGUGUCUGGCAAAAUGAACAUGGUGAGGGAUUUCCAUCAGAGGCUCGCUGCUGCUGCUGCUGCUGCUGAUCCCCAGGGCACGGAGCUCCUGGCCGGACAGGCUCUUCUGCACACCAGCACGUGAAGAUCCAGGGAGGGUGACUACACAGCAUGUGCUGCAUGCGGAGCUGCUGACUGGGGAAGUCUGGAGGGCGGAAGGGACCGAGGUGGAGUUCUGGCUUUGGUUCUGCUGCAGAGAGAGAAGCGUGAGUCAGAACUGAGACCCGAGGCAGCCGGAGCAGUUCUGCCUCAUCUGAUGUUAAGACUUGAUUCCCUGUUCUUCCAAAUGCUUAGAACUUAUGGGCUACCCGGCAAGACUUCCUUCACAGGACCUGCUACAUUUACCUCCUAACGCCCAGCCACCACGGUGAUAGAAACUGGGCCCAAACGGUAUUCUAUGACAGAGAGAUCUAACCACAGGACCCUCGUGGAAGGGUCUUUGUCUCCCCUGUUUCCCUAGGAGAAUGGGGUGGAAGGAGAGCAGUCAUUCAGACUGGAGGACCCCUGGUGGAGGAGGCAGCAUAGUCGUGGUUAAAGAGAUAACGAGCAAAAACACCUGAACUGGAGUGUCCCACCUCACUAACAAAUAUUCAUUAGAGGAUUACUUUGUACCAGAAUUUCUACAAGGCAGUAGGCGUUCAGCAAUAAACAACACAAACAUAGUCUAGGCCCCCCAGUGAAUGGUACCCCUGACCAAUUCAAGCCCUGUUAACUUCCAUAAUUAAUCUAAAUAAAAAUUUCCCCAGGGGGAGGAACCAAGAUGGCGGAGUAGAAGGACAUGCUCUCACUCCCUCUUGCAAGAACACCAGAAUCACAACGAGCUGCUGGACAAUCAUUGACAGGAAGACACUGGAACUCACCAAAAAAGAUACCCCACAUCCAAAGACAAAGGAGAAGCCACAAUGAGACGGUAGGAGGGGCACAAUCACAGUAAAAUCAAAUCCCAUAACUGGUGGGUGGGUGACUCACAGACUGGAGAAUAAUUAUACCACAGAAGUCCACCCACUGGAGUGAAGGUUCUGAGCCCCACGUCAGGCUUCCCAACCUGGGAGCCCGGCAACGGGAGGAGGAAUUCCUAUAGAGAAUCAGACUUUGAAGCCUAGCAGGAAUUGAUUGCAGGACUUCAACAGGACUGGGGGAUACAGAGACUCCACUCUUGGAGGGCACAAAGUAGUGUGUGCAUUGGGACCCAGGGGAAGGAGCAGUGACCCCAGCGGAGACUGAACCAGACCUACCUGCUAGUGUUAGAGGGUCUCCUGCAGGGGUGGGGGGUGGCUGUGGCUCAUCGUGGGGACAAGGAAACUGGCAGCAGAAGUUCUGGGAAGUACUCCUUGGCGUGAGCCCUCCCAGAGUCUGCCAUUAGCCCCACCAAAGAGCCCAGGUAGGCUCCAAUGUUGGGCUGCCUCAGGCCAAACAACCAACAGGGAGGGAACCCAGACCCACCCAUCAACAGUCAAGUGGAUUAAAGUUUUACUAAGCUCUGCCCACCAGAGCAACAGUCAGCUCUACCCACCACCGGUCCCUCCCAUCAGGAAACUUGCACAAGCCUCUUAGAUAGCCUCAUCCACCAGAGGGCAGACAGCAGAAGCAAGAAGAACUACAAUCCUGCAGCCUGUGGGGGGGGGGGGGGAAAUUCACAGAAAGAGAGACAAGAUGAAAAGGCAGAGGGCUAUGUACCAGAUGAAGGAACAAUAUAAAACCCCAGAAGAACAACUAAAUGAAGUGGAGAUAGGCAACCUUCCAGAAAAAGAAUUCAGAAUAAUGAGAGUGAAGAUGAUCCAGGACCUCAGAAAAAGAAUGGAGGCAAAGAUCGAGAAGAUGCAAGAAAUGUUUAACAAAGACCUAGAAGAAUUAAAGAACAAACAAACAGAGAUGAACAAUACAAUAACUGAAAUGAAAACUACACUAGAAGGAAUCCAUAGCAGAAUAACUGAGGCAGAAGAACGGAUAAGUGACCUGGAAGGCUUGAAUGGUGGAAUUCACUGCUGCGGAACAGAAUAAAGAAAAAAGAAUGAAAAGAAGUGAAGACAGCCUAAGAGACCUCCAGGACAAUAUUAAACGCAACAACAUUCACAUUAUAGGGGUCCCAGAAGGAGAAGAGAGAGAGAAAGGACGCAAGAAAAUAUUUGAAGAGAUUAUAGUCGAAAACUUCCCUAACAUGGGGAAGGAAAUAGCCACCCAAGUCCAGGAAGCACAGCAAGUCCCAUACAGGAUAAACCCAAGGAGAAACACGCUGAGACACAUAGUAAUCAAAUUGGCAAAAAUUAAAGACAAAAAUUAUUGAAAGCAGCAAAGGAAAAAUGAAAAGUAACAUACAAGGGAACUCCAAUAAGGUUAACAGCUGAUUUCUCAGCAGAAACUCUACAAGCCAGAAGGGAGUGCCAUGAUAUAAAGUGAUGAAAGGGAAGAAACUACAACCAAGAUUACUCUAUCUGGCAAGGAUCUCAUUCAGAUUCGAUGGAGAAAUCAAAAGCUUUACAGACAAGCAAAAGCUAAGAGAAUUCUGCACCACCAAACCAGCUCCACAACAAAUGCUAAAGGAACUUCUCUAAGUGGGAAACACAAGAGAAGAAAAGGACCUACAAAAACAAACCCAAAACAAUUAAGAAAAUGGUAAAGGAACAUACACAUCGAUAAUUACCUUAAACGUGAAUGGAUUAAAUGCUCCAACCAAAAGACACAGGCUUGCUGAAUGGAUACAAAAACAAGACCCAUAUAUAUGCUGUCUACAAGAGACCCACUUCAGACCUAGGGACACAUACAGACUGAAAGUGAGGGGAUGGAAAAAGAUAUUCCAUGCAAAUGGAAAUCAAAAGAAAGCUGGAGUAGCAAUACUCAUAUCAGAUAAAAUAGACUUUAAAAUAAAGAAUGUUACAAGAGACAAGGAAGGACACUACAAAAUGAUCAAGGGGUCAAUCCAAGAAGAAGAUAUAACAAUUAUAAAUAUAUAUGCACCCAACACAGGAGCACCUCAAUACAUAAAGCAAGUGCUAACAGCUAUAAAAGAGGAAAUCGACAGUAACACAAUAAUAGUGGGGGACUUUAACACCUCACUUACACCAAUGGACAGAUCAUCCAAAAUGAAAACAAAUAAGGAAACAGAAGCUUUAACUAACACAAUAGACCAGAUAGAUUUAAUUGAUAUUUAUAGGACAUUCCAUCCCAAAACAGCAGAUUACACAUUCUUCUCAAGUGCACACGGAACAUUCUCAAGGAUAGAUCACAUCUUGGGUCACAAAUCAAGCCUCAGUAAAUUUAAGAAAACUGAAAUCAUAUCAAGCAUCUUUUCUGACCACAACGCUAUGAGAUUAGAAAUGAAUUACAGGGAAAAAAACAUAAAAAACACACAUGGAGGCUAAACAAUACGUUACUAAAUAACCGAGAUCACUCAAGAAAUCAAAGAAGAAAUCAAAAAAUACCUAGAAACAAAUGACAAUGAAAACAUGACGACCAAAACCUAUGGGAUGCAGCAAAAGCAGUUGUAAGGGGGAAGUUUAUAGCUAUACAAGCCUACCUCAAGAAACAAGAAAAAUCUCAAGUAAACAAUCUAACCUUACACCUAAAGGACCUAGAGAAAGAAGAACGAACUAAACCCAAAGCAGAAGGAAAGAAAUCAUAAAGACCAGAGCAGAAAUAAGUAAAAUAGACACAAAGAAAACAACAGCAAAGAUCAAUAAAACUAAAAGCUGGUUCUUUGAGAAGAUAAACAAAAUUGAUAAACCAUUAGCCAGACUCAUCAAGAAGAAGAGGGAGAGGACUCAAAUCAAUAAAAUUAGAAAUGAAAAAGGAGAAGUUACAACAGACACCACAGAAAUAUAAAGCAUCCUAAGAAACUACUACAAGCAACUCUAUGCCAAUAAAAUGGACAACCUGGAAGAAAUGGACAAAUUCUUAGAAAGGUAUAACCUUCCAAGACUGAAACAGGAAGAAAUAGAAAAUAUGAACAGACCAAUCACAAGUAAUGAAAUUGAAACUGUGAUUAAAAAUCUUCCAACAAACAAACGUCCAGGACCAAUGGCUUCACAGGUGAAUUCUAUCAAACACUCAGAGAAGAGCUAACACCCAUCCUUCUCAAACUCUUCCCAAAAAUUGCAGAGGAAGGAACACUCCCAAACUCAUUCUAUGAGGCCACCAGCACCCUGAUACCGAAACCAGACAAAGAUACUACCAAAAAAAAAAAAAAAAAAAAAAAAUUACAGACCAAUAUCACUGAUGAAUAUAGAUGCAAAAAUCCUCAACAAAAUACUAACAAACAGAAUCCAACAGCACAUUAAAAGGAUCAAAUACCAUGAUCAAGUGGGAUUUAUCCCAGGGAUGCAAGGAUUCUUCAAUAUACGCAAAUCAAUCAAUGUGAUACACCACAUUAACAAAUUGAAGAAGAAAAACCAUAUGAGCAUCUCAAUAGAUGCAGAAAAAGCUUCUGACAAAAUUCAACACCCAUUUAUGAUAAAAACUCUCCAGAAAGUGGGCAUAGAGGGAAGCUACCUCAACAUAAUAAAGACCAUAUAUGACAAACCCACAGCAAACAUCAUUCUCAAUGGUGAAAAACUGAAAGCAUUUCCUCUAAGAUCAGGAACGAGACAAGGAUGUCCACUCUCACCACUAUUAUUCAACAUAGUUUUGGAAGUCCUAGCCACGGCAAUCAGAGAAGAAAAAGAAAUAAAAGGAAUACAAACUGGAAAAGAAGAAGUAAAACUGUCAUUGUUUGUAGAUGACAUGAUACUAUACAUAGAGAAUCCUAAAAAUGCUACCAGAAAACUACUAGAGCUAAUCAGUGAAUUUGGUAAAGUUGCAGGAUACAAAAUUCAUGAACAGAAGUAUCUUGCAUUCCUAUACACUAAUGAUGAAAAAUCUGAAAAAGAAAUUGUGGAAACACUCGCAUUUACCAUUGCAACAAAAGGAAUAAAAUACCUAGGAAUAAACCUACCUAGGGAGACAAAAGACAUGUAUGCAGAAAACUGUAAGACACUGUUGAAAGAAAUUAAAGAUGAUACCAACAGAUAGAGAGAUAUACCAUGUUCUUGGAUUGGAAGAAUCAAUAUUGUGAAAAUGACUAUACUACCCAAAGCAAUCUACAGAUUCAAUGCAAUCCCUAUCAAAUUACCAAUGGCAGUUUUUACGGAACUAGAACAAAUCAUCUUAAAAUUUGUAUGGAGAUACAAAAGACCCCGAAUAGCCAAAGCAGUCUUGAAGGAAAAAAAUGGACUGGAGGAAUCAGACUCCCUGACUUCAGACUAUACUACAAAGCUACAGUAACGAAGACAAUAUGGUACUGGCACAAAAACAGAAACAUAGAUCAAUGGAACAAGAUAGAAAGCCCAGAGAUUAAACCCACACACCUAUGGUCAACUAAUCUAUGACAAAGGAGGCAAAGAUAUACAAUGGAGAAAAGACAGUCUCUUCAAUAAGUGGUGCUGGAAAACUGGACAGCUACAUGUAAAAGAAUGAAAUUAGAACACUCUGUAACACCAUACACAAAAAUAAACUCAAAGUGGAUUCUAGACGUGAAUGUAAGACCGGACACUAUAAAACUCCUAGAGGAAAACAUUGGAAGAACACUCUUUGACAUAAAUCACAGCAAGAUCUUUUUUGAUCCACCUCCUAGAGUAAUGGAAAUAAAAACAAAAAUAAACAAAUGGGACCUAAUGAAACUUCAAAGCUUUUGCACAGCAAAGGAAACCAUACACAAGACAAAAAGACAACCCUCAGAAUGGGAGAAAAUAUUUGUAAACGAAUCAACGGACAAAGGAUUAAUCUCCAAAAUAUAUAAACAGCUCAUGCAGCUCAAUAUUAAACAAACAACCCAAUCCAAAAGUGGGCAGGAGACCUAAAUAGACAUUUCUCCAAAGAAGACAUACAGAUGGCCAAGAAGCACAUGAAAAGCUGCUCAAGGGCUUCCCUCGUGGCGCAGUGGUUGAGAGUCCACCUGCCGAUGCAGGGGACACGGGUUCGUGACCCGGUCCAAGAAGAUCCCAUAUGCCGCGGAGCGGGUAGGCCUGUGAGCCAUGGCUGCUGAGCCUGAGCGUCCAGAGCCUGUGCUCCGCAACGGGAGAGGCCACAACAGUGAGAGGCCCACGUACUGCCAAAAAAAAAAAAAAAAAUAGAAAA